AACCCUUCGGGGCGAAGAUAAAGUGGAUUAGCGGCGGACGGGUGAGUAACACGUGAGUAACCUGCCUUAGAACAUUGGGAUAGCCUCGGGAAACCGGGAUUAAUACCAAAUAAAAUCAUAAUGACACAUGUCAUAACGAUCAAAACUCCGGUGGUCUCAAGAUGGCACUCGCGUCCCAUUAGCUAGUUGGUAGAGUAAAAGCCUACCAAGGCGACGAUGGGUAGCCGGCCUGAGAGGGUGAACGGCCACAUUGGAACUGAGAAACGGUCCAAACUCCUACGGGAGGCAGCAGUGGGGAAUAUUGCACAAUGGAGGGAACUCUGAUGCAGCGACGCCGCGUGAACGAAGAAGGCUUUCGAGUCGUAAAGUUCUUUUAUAUGGGAAGAUAAUGACGGUACCAUAAGAAAAAGCCCCGGCUAACUACGUGCCAGCAGCCGCGGUAAUACGUAGGGGGCUAGCGUUGUCCGGAAUCACUGGGCGUAAAGGGUUCGCGGCGGAAAUGCAAGUCAGAUGUAAAAGGCAGUAGCUUAACUACUGUAAGCAUUUGAAACUGCAUAUCUUGAGAAGAGUAGAGGUAAGUGGAAUUUUUAGUGUAGCGGUGAAAUGCGUAGAUAUUAAAAAGAAUACCGGUGGCGAAGGCGACUUACUGGGCUCAUUCUGACGCUGAGGAACGAAAGCGUGGGUAGCAAACAGGA
Molecule: ribosomal RNA, 695 nt
Filed under: uncultured Eubacteriales bacterium
Lineage: Bacteria; Bacillati; Bacillota; Clostridia; Eubacteriales
Description: bacterial SSU rRNA
Rfam family: Bacterial small subunit ribosomal RNA
Source: RNAcentral